RNAcentral lists this ribosomal RNA (301 nucleotides) under uncultured bacterium. Its description in RNAcentral is "partial 16S ribosomal RNA". It matches the Rfam family "Bacterial small subunit ribosomal RNA", at positions 509 to 807 of the family's 1533-position model. The record is from RNAcentral.
CAGUCGCCACGGUAAUACGAAGGGGGCUAGCGUUGUUCGGAUUUACUGGGCGUAAAGGGCGCGUAGGCGGACUGAUAAGUCAGGGGUGAAAUCCCAAGGCUCAACCUUGGAACUGCCUUUGAUACUGUUUGUCUUGAGUUCGAGAGAGGUAAGUGGAACUGCGAGUGUAGAGGUGAAAUUCGUAGAUAUUCGCAAGAACACCAGUGGCGAAGGCGGCUUACUGGCUCGAAACUGACGCUGAGGCGCGAAAGCGUGGGGAGCAAACAGGAUUAGAGACCCCUGUAGUCCCUGUCUCUUAUAC